GGGCAUCCAAAGGAAAGGCAGCAGGCACGCAAAUUACCCAAUGAACGAAGUUCGAGGUAGUGACGAAAAAUAACGAUAGCCCAUUCAUCCGAGGCCCGCUAAUUGGAAUGAGUACACUUUAACACCGUCCCCGAGGAUCUAUUGGAGGGCAAGUCUGGUGCCAGCAGCCGCGGUAAUUCCAGCUCCAAUAGCGUAUAUUAAAGUUGUUGUGGUUAAAAAGCUCGUAGUUGGAUCUCAACAGACCUGGAUCGGUUUACUUUGUGUAAUACUGAUCCAGAGCUGUGCUUUUGAUGGAGGUUUAGGGGUGCUCUUAACCGAGUGUCUCUGAGUGCCAUCAGGUUUACUUUGAAAAAAUUAGAGUGCUUCAAGCAGGCUUUUAUGCCAGAAUAUUUGUGCAUGGAAUAAUAGAAUAGGAUGUUGAUCUUAUUUUGUUGGUUUUCGAGACUUGACAUAAUGAUUAAUAUGGACAGUCGGGGGCAUUUGUAUUCAAACGACAGAGGUGAAAUUCUUGGACCGUUUGAAGACAAACUACUGCGAAAGCAUUUGCCAAGAAUGUUUUCAUUAAUCAAGAACGAAAGUUAGAGGUUCGAAGGCGAUUAGAUACCGCCCUAGUUCUAACCAUAAACGAUGCCAGCUGGCGAUCUGCUGACGUUUUUACUGUAGACUCAGCAGGAAGCUUCCGGGAAACCAAAGCAUUUGGGUUCCAGGGGAAGUAUGGUUGCAAAGCUGAAACUUAAAGGAAUUGACGGAAGGGCACCACCAGGAGUGGAGCCUGUGGCUUAAUUUGACUCAACACGGGAAAUCUCACCAGGCCCGGACACUGGAAGGAUUGACAGAUUGAUAGCUCUUUCUUGAUUCGGUGGGUGGUGGUGCAUGGCCGUUCUUAGUUGGUGGAGUGAUUUGUCUGGUUAAUUCCGAUAACGAACGAGACUCUGUCCUGCUAAAUAGUGUUAUCUUCUUUUUUGAGAUGACAAUUCUUCUUAGAGGGACUGGCAACUCUUAGUUGCACGAGAUUGAGCAAUAACAGGUCUGUGAUGCCCUUAGAUGUUCUGGGCCGCACACGCGCUACACUGAAUAGAUCAACGUGUCACCCUUCCCGAAAGGGACGGGUAAACCGCUGAACCCUAUUCGUGGUAGGGAUCGGGGCUUGCAAUUAUUCCCCGUGAACCAGGAAUUCCCAGUAGGCACAGGUCAUAAGCCUGUGUCGAUUACGUCCCUGCCCUUUGUACACACCGCCCGUCGCUACUACCGAUUGAACGUUUUAGUGAGGACCUCGGGUUGUGUUUCAGUUGGCUCACGCUGACUGUUUGCGAGAAGACGUCCAAACUGAAAGCGUAAAA
Molecule: ribosomal RNA, 1340 nt
Filed under: uncultured marine eukaryote
Lineage: Eukaryota
Description: SSU rRNA
Rfam family: Eukaryotic small subunit ribosomal RNA
Source: RNAcentral